This 449-nucleotide ribosomal RNA is filed under the name uncultured bacterium. RNAcentral's name for it is "SSU rRNA". It matches the Rfam family "Bacterial small subunit ribosomal RNA", at positions 27 to 518 of the family's 1533-position model. The record is from RNAcentral.
GGAGCGAACGCUGGCGGCAGGCCUAACACAUGCAAGUCGAGCGCCCGUAGCAAUACGGGAGCGGCAGACGGGAUAGUAACACGUGGGAACGCGCCCUUCGGUUCGGAAUAACUCAGGGAAACUUGAGCUAAAUACCGGAUACGCCCUUACGGGGAAAGAUUUAUUGCCGAAGGAACGGCCCGCGUCCGAUUAGCUAGUUGGUGAGGUAAUGGCUCACCAAGGCGACGAUCGGUAGCUGGUCUGAGAGGAUGACCAGCAUCACUGGGACUGAGACACGGCCCAGACUCCUACGGGAGGCAGCAGUGGGGAAUAUUGGACAAUGGGCGCAAGCCUGAUCCAGCCAUGCCGCGUGGAUGAUGAAGGCCUUAGGGUUGUAAAGUCCUUUUAACGGGGAAGAUAAUGACGGUACCCGUAGAAUAAGCCCCGGCUAACUUCGUGCCAGCAGCCGC